AUUGAACGCUGGCGGCAGGCCUAACACAUGCAAGUCGAGCGGAUGAAGGGAGCUUGCUCCUGGAUUCAGCGGCGGACGGGUGAGUAAUGCCUAGGAAUCUGCCUGGUCGUGGGGGAUAACGUCCGGAAACGGGCGCUAAUACCGCAUACGUCCUGAGGGAGAAAGUGGGGGUUCUUCGGACCUCACGCUAUCAGAUGAGCCUAGGUCGGAUUAGCUAGUUGGUGGGGUAAAGGCCUACCAAGGCGACGAUCCGUAACUGGUCUGAGAGGAUGAUCAGUCACACUGGAACUGAGACACGGUCCAGACUCCUACGGGAGGCAGCAGUGGGGAAUAUUGGACAAUGGGCGAAAGCCUGAUCCAGCCAUGCCGCGUGUGUGAAGAAGGUCUUCGGAUUGUAAAGCACUUUAAGUUGGGAGGAAGGGCAGUAAGUUAAUACCUUGCUGUUUUGACGUUACCAACAGAAUAAGCACCGGCUAACUUCGUG
Molecule: ribosomal RNA, 484 nt
Filed under: uncultured bacterium
Lineage: Bacteria
Description: partial 16S ribosomal RNA
Rfam family: Bacterial small subunit ribosomal RNA
Source: RNAcentral